UAGAAGAAUCAGAGGGGUUCAAAUCCUCUUUGAAGUA
This 37-nucleotide transfer RNA is filed under the name Crepidomanes humile. Its description in RNAcentral is "partial tRNA-Leu". Lineage: Eukaryota; Viridiplantae; Streptophyta; Polypodiopsida; Hymenophyllales; Hymenophyllaceae. The record is from RNAcentral.